UCCAUCGGAAGCUUUGGCAUGGAAUUCCACC
RNAcentral lists this non-coding RNA (31 nucleotides) under Homo sapiens (human). Lineage: Eukaryota; Metazoa; Chordata; Mammalia; Primates; Hominidae. The record is from RNAcentral.